Molecule: ribosomal RNA, 253 nt
Filed under: uncultured bacterium
Lineage: Bacteria
Description: partial 16S ribosomal RNA
Rfam family: Bacterial small subunit ribosomal RNA
Source: RNAcentral
UACGUAGGGGGCAAGCGUUGUUCGGAAUUACUGGGCGUAAAGCGUGCGUAGACGGUUAUUUAAGUCGGAUGUGAAAGCCCUGGGCUUAACCUGGGAAUUGCAGUCGAUACUACUCAGCUAGAGUAUGGGAGAGGGCAGUGGAAUUCCCGGUGUAGCGGUGAAAUGCGUAGAUAUCGGGAGGAACAUCAGUGGCGAAGGCGGCUGCCUGGCCCAAUACUGACACUCAGGUGCGACAGCGUGGGGAGCAAACAGG